This 1395-nucleotide long non-coding RNA is filed under the name Oreochromis niloticus (Nile tilapia). Its description in RNAcentral is "lncRNA (ENSONIG00000026613.2)". The record is from RNAcentral. Lineage: Eukaryota; Metazoa; Chordata; Actinopteri; Cichliformes; Cichlidae.
AUGACAACUCCACACAGUUACACCUCAGUAGAAACAUGGAAGUCCUUAAGUGACCACUUUUUUGGUACAAUUGUACCACAGUGGCAAUCUCUGCAGUUCAACCCAGAGUACUGCAACACUGAGCUGCCUUCCACUUUGCUGAAAGACAUGUUGAAACUUUGUUCCAUGUUAGUGGAUGCAAUGGACACAACCGUGGAGAAGGGAGAUCCAGUGUCCACGCAGACUGAUGAGGUCUGUCUUCACUCAGUGAACACAGAGUCCCAUGAGAAAACAGAAACUCCAGGACUGGAGGACUCUUCAGACUCAAUAAACCUCAAGCUGCAUUUGACUGCAGAGGAGAGCAGUCUUGAUAAAACAUCCACAGAUGACAGUGAAAAUAGAGAAAUUCUAACACUGGAUCGUGUACCUGCACCACCCUGCAUAUAUCCAGAUAUUUUUAUAAGUUUCAGUGAGUCAUCUGAGGAAGAAGCAUCUGUGUCGUCCCAGAUGUUUCCUCCUCAAACCCAAACCACCGCCACAGUAGAACCGAAGAAAAAGUACUCAGCUGAUACAAAAGACUUGGAUAACAUAGAAGCUUGCCCCCUGGAAAAGCCUGUGAAGAAAAAACAACAUAGGUCAGUCCGUAAGUCUGAUUCAGAUUUUGGUUCUUAUGACAUCACUCUGGCAUCUGAUUAUCUGUCUGAAGAAAAGAUGUGUGUUUACAAAGUUAUUCAGUUGGUAGUUUCAGAGGCCACAAGCAAAGCCUCCUCUAAAUACAAGGACUUCACACGGCGUAUGACUCCGAACUCCAUCAGCGAUCGUCUGCUUGAAAAAAUCUGGCCUCAGAUUGACGAGAGAGAUUUGGAUCUAUCUCCAAAAAGGCUGACCAAUAUCAACAAGGACAUUUUCACCAACCUUUGCAAAGCACAUAACUGCAAGGAGAAAUAUUUGAUUAUGUGUCUGAGAGAACAGCUUGACGAUCUUACUGUCCCAACGUUUACAGAACUCCUGUUGGCUUUACCAAAAAGAGUACUCACUAUAUCUGAGAACAGAGAAGAGUACAGAAAAGUUGUUGAAAGCUUCACUAAAGAUUUGGUUCUGCACGCUAUAAGCAACACAAAUGAGGCAUGGAAAUUGCCUCCAGGGGCAGAUAAAGCCAUUAUGAACAGGUUUACCCACAGGAUUUGGGCUAAAAUUAAGUCCCAAAACCUUAAAAUGUCCUUAGAGAACACUGAAGAAGUCAGUGUGAAAGUCUACAAUGAACUCCGGGAAAAGUGGAAAAGUCCAAACACUGUCCUGGAGUUAAUGUUUAAUGGCCAAGACAAUAUUGACAACGUGAUUGUCAAAAGUUUCAAAAGAAAUGCCCCAUUGAAGAGACCAAGUUUUUUCUCUAGGAUUUUCUCACGAGCACUCUAA